RNAcentral lists this long non-coding RNA (412 nucleotides) under Ananas comosus (pineapple). RNAcentral describes it as "long non-coding RNA (ACOM_LNC038204)". Lineage: Eukaryota; Viridiplantae; Streptophyta; Magnoliopsida; Poales; Bromeliaceae. The record is from RNAcentral.
UGAGAAUUUCGGGAUGUCAAAUCUGAACGGAGCAAACUUAUUCGAUGGUUAACGGAUAUAGUUUUGGAUAUAGAUAUAAAAAAAAUAAAAAAUAAAAAAAAAAGAAGAGAAAACUCGACAGAUUUGGAUUCGGAUAUAGAUUUUGUCUGCAUCUGACCUGAACUCAAACCGGAACCCAAUUCGAACCCAAAUUGAUUUUACAUUAUAUUUUGAAUUUAUAUUAUAAAAUUUAGAUUUUUAAUGUAAUCUAUUUAGAAAUAUGGUAAAGAGAAAUAAUUAUUUCGGGUUCGAAUUUUCGGGUUCAGGUUCAAGUUUUGAAUCUUUGGUCGGGUUAGGAUUUGAAUACGAUUUUUUAAGAUCCAUCGAAUUUGAGUUCGGAUUUUUAAAGAUCUUCCUCGAAUCCGACCCGUUG